GGAUUACAGGUGUGUGCCACUGUGCCCAGAUUUUUUGAUUCAGCUGAUCUGGCUAGCUAGGCAAGUGUUCUCUUUCUCUCUUACUGCUCCAUGUGCACCACUGAUGAAGCUAUGUGCUCAGUUGAGGAGGACAACCACCCCAGAUAGAGGAGGACUGUUCUUUAGUCAAGGGUAUAUAAGUAGCUGCAUUCCCAUGCUAGAAUCUCUAAACAACUCGUUUUUAAUCCUUUCUAAGUGUCCAAUAAGUGAACUUUUAAUAUUACUGAAGAUGGGGAAUAAAGGGCCUCUAAUUC
RNAcentral lists this small nuclear RNA (293 nucleotides) under Marmota marmota marmota (Alpine marmot). RNAcentral's name for it is "7SK RNA (ENSMMMG00000010005.1)". It matches the Rfam family "7SK RNA", at positions 41 to 331 of the family's 331-position model. Rfam says of the family: 7SK was discovered as an abundant small nuclear RNA in the mid-70s but a possible function has only recently been suggested. Lineage: Eukaryota; Metazoa; Chordata; Mammalia; Rodentia; Sciuridae. The record is from Rfam by way of RNAcentral.